GGGUUGUGAGGUUAAGCGACUAAGCGUACACGGUGGAUGCCCUGGCAGUCAGAGGCGAUGAAGGACGUGCUAAUCUGCGAAAAGCGCCGGCGAGGUGAUAUGAACCUUUGACCCGGCGAUGUCCGAAUGGGGAAACCCAGUGUGUUCCGACACACUAUCGUUAACUGAAUACAUAGGUUAACGAGGCGAACCGGGGGAACUGAAACAUCUAAGUACCCCGAGGAAAAGAAAUCAACCGAGAUUCCCCCAGUAGCGGCGAGCGAACGGGGAGCAGCCCAGAGUCUGAAUCAGCUUGUGUGUUAGUGGAAGCGUCUGGAAAGUCGCACGGUACAGGGUGACAGUCCCGUACACGAAAGCACACAGGUUGUGAACUCGAAGAGUAGGGCGGGACACGUGGUAUCCUGUCUGAAUAUGGGGGGACCAUCCUCCAAGGCUAAAUACUCCUGACUGACCGAUAGUGAACCAGUACCGUGAGGGAAAGGCGAAAAGAACCCCGGCGAGGGGAGUGAAAAAGAACCUGAAACCGUGUACGUACAAGCAGUGGGAGCACCUUCGUGGUGUGACUGCGUACCUUUUGUAUAAUGGGUCAGCGACUUAUAUUCUGUAGCAAGGUUAACCGUAUAGGGGAGCCGAAGGGAAACCGAGUCUUAACUGGGCGUUAAGUUGCAGGGUAUAGACCCGAAACCCGGUGAUCUAGCCAUGGGCAGGUUGAAGGUUGGGUAACACUAACUGGAGGACCGAACCGACUAAUGUUGAAAAAUUAGCGGAUGACUUGUGGCUGGGGGUGAAAGGCCAAUCAAACCGGGAGAUAGCUGGUUCUCCCCGAAAGCUAUUUAGGUAGCGCCUCGUGAACUCAUCUUCGGGGGUAGAGCACUGUUUCGGCUAGGGGGCCAUCCCGGCUUACCAACCCGAUGCAAACUACGAAUACCGAAGAAUGUUAUCACGGGAGACACACGGCGGGUGCUAACGUCCGUCGUGAAGAGGGAAACAACCCAGACCGCCAGCUAAGGUCCCAAAGUCAUGGUUAAGUGGGAAACGAUGUGGGAAGGCACAGACAGCCAGGAUGUUGGCUUAGAAGCAGCCAUCAUUUAAAGAAAGCGUAAUAGCUCACUGGUCGAGUCGGCCUGCGCGGAAGAUGUAACGGGGCUAAACCAUGCACCGAAGCUGCGGCAGCGACGCUUAUGCGUUGUUGGGUAGGGGAGCGUUCUGUAAGCCGUUGAAGGUGUGCUGUGAGGCAUGCUGGAGGUAUCAGAAGUGCGAAUGCUGACAUAAGUAACGAUAAAGCGGGUGAAAAGCCCGCUCGCCGGAAGACCAAGGGUUCCUGUCCAACGUUAAUCGGGGCAGGGUGAGUCGACCCCUAAGGCGAGGCCGAAAGGCGUAGUCGAUGGGAAACAGGUUAAUAUUCCUGUACUUGGUGUUACUGCGAAGGGGGGACGGAGAAGGCUAUGUUAGCCGGGCGACGGUUGUCCCGGUUUAAGCAUGUAGGCGGAGGUUCCAGGUAAAUCCGGUACCUUUUAACGCUGAGGUGUGAUGACGAGGCACUACGGUGCUGAAGUAACAAAUGCCCUGCUUCCAGGAAAAGCCUCUAAGCAUCAGGUAACAUCAAAUCGUACCCCAAACCGACACAGGUGGUCAGGUAGAGAAUACCAAGGCGCUUGAGAGAACUCGGGUGAAGGAACUAGGCAAAAUGGUGCCGUAACUUCGGGAGAAGGCACGCUGAUAUGUAGGUGAAGCCCCUGCGGGUGGAGCUGAAAUCAGUCGAAGAUACCAGCUGGCUGCAACUGUUUAUUAAAAACACAGCACUGUGCAAACACGAAAGUGGACGUAUACGGUGUGACGCCUGCCCGGUGCCGGAAGGUUAAUUGAUGGGGUUAGCGGCAACGCGAAGCUCUUGAUCGAAGCCCCGGUAAACGGCGGCCGUAACUAUAACGGUCCUAAGGUAGCGAAAUUCCUUGUCGGGUAAGUUCCGACCUGCACGAAUGGCGUAAUGAUGGCCAGGCUGUCUCCACCCGAGACUCAGUGAAAUUGAACUCGCUGUGAAGAUGCAGUGUACCCGCGGCAAGACGGAAAGACCCCGUGAACCUUUACUAUAGCUUGACACUGAACACUGGUCCUUGAUGUGUAGGAUAGGUGGGAGGCUUUGAAGUGUGGACGCCAGUCUGCAUGGAGCCGUCCUUGAAAUACCACCCUUUAAUGGCUGGUGUUCUAACGUAGACCCGUAAUCCGGGUUGCGGACAGUGUCUGGUGGGUAGUUUGACUGGGGCGGUCUCCUCCCAAAGAGUAACGGAGGAGCACGAAGGUUAGCUAAUCCUGGUCGGACAUCAGGAGGUUAGUGCAAUGGCAUAAGCUAGCUUGACUGCGAGAGUGACGGCUCGAGCAGGUGCGAAAGCAGGUCAUAGUGAUCCGGUGGUUCUGAAUGGAAGGGCCAUCGCUCAACGGAUAAAAGGUACUCCGGGGAUAACAGGCUGAUACCGCCCAAGAGUUCAUAUCGACGGCGGUGUUUGGCACCUCGAUGUCGGCUCAUCACAUCCUGGGGCUGAAGUAGGUCCCAAGGGUAUGGCUGUUCGCCAUUUAAAGUGGUACGCGAGCUGGGUUUAGAACGUCGUGAGACAGUUCGGUCCCUAUCUGCCGUGGGCGCUGGAGAAUUGAGGGGGGCUGCUCCUAGUACGAGAGGACCGGAGUGGACGCAUCACUGGUGUUCGGGUUGUCAUGCCAAUGGCACUGCCCGGUAGCUAAAUGCGGAAAAGAUAAGUGCUGAAAGCAUCUAAGCACGAAACUUGCCCCGAGAUGAGUUCUCCCUGAGACUUUAAGUCUCCUGAAGGAACGUUGAAGACGACGACGUUGAUAGGUCGGGUGUGUAAGCGCAGCGAUGCGUUGAGCUAACCGAUACUAAUGAACCGUGAGGCUUAACCUUACAACGCCGAAG
This 2926-nucleotide ribosomal RNA is filed under the name Enterobacter asburiae. Its description in RNAcentral is "bacterial LSU rRNA". It matches the Rfam family "Bacterial large subunit ribosomal RNA". Lineage: Bacteria; Pseudomonadati; Pseudomonadota; Gammaproteobacteria; Enterobacterales; Enterobacteriaceae. RNAcentral also lists the same sequence under 1 other name. The record is from RNAcentral.